GGGCGAGCGAGCAGGCUCUGCUAAGGGUGGAGGCUGCGGCCUGGACCCUAAAGUAAAGUUGUUAGGGCGGAGCUGUGGGCUGGGGAGGAGUUCAGUCCUUUGCUUUGGAUGGGGCCUGUGGGGUGGGAUGCAGGCAGGAGCCACACAGGAUGGAGCCUGUGCUAGGGCAGUCCGGCCUUCAGCUAGGGGCGGGACCAGAGCGAUGGGGUGGGGUCACCCUUCUGCUAAGUAUGAGGGACAGAGCUAAGGAGCUGGACCAGCGGGCUGAGGCGUGGUGUCCAGCCUUUUGCUACGGAUGGGGACAGUGCCAUGGGGACCUCACUAUGCAGACAAGGUCCCAGGUCAUCCUCAGAUCAGGGUGGCCUCAAACUCAGAGAGCUCCUCCUGCCUCCCUGUCCCGAGUGCUGGGGAAACCCAUGGUUCUGGGGAUCGGCCCCAGAGCUUUGUGCCUACCAGACAGCAUCCUACGCACUGAGCACACCCGGCGUCUACUUCUAAAGGGCUUUGGCCUGGGCCGUCUGCCCACAUCCUGUGUCCUCACAUCCUGUGCUGCUGAUUCGCCCGGUCCUCCCAGGGUGGCGGUGUUAACAGAUGCCCUCCUUUGGACCUGAGUGGUGGCUCAGCACAUAAGGGUGCUUGCCCUCAGGCUUGACACCCGAGUCGCAUCUCUUCCAUGUUGUCCUCUGAUCUCUACGUGUGGUUCAUGGCGUGCUUUGAAGAAAGAAAUGCAUGUUCA
Mesocricetus auratus (golden hamster) is the source of this 736-nucleotide long non-coding RNA. RefSeq lists it as uncharacterized. Lineage: Eukaryota; Metazoa; Chordata; Mammalia; Rodentia; Cricetidae. The record is from RefSeq and is a predicted model, not a curated record. The transcript is spliced from 2 exons.